This 484-nucleotide ribosomal RNA is filed under the name Opistophthalmus holmi. RNAcentral describes it as "partial 16S ribosomal RNA". It matches the Rfam family "Bacterial large subunit ribosomal RNA", at positions 1829 to 2600 of the family's 2925-position model. Lineage: Eukaryota; Metazoa; Arthropoda; Arachnida; Scorpiones; Scorpionidae. The record is from RNAcentral.
GGUUUUUAGGUCUUAUUAAAAAUCAGGCCUGCUCAAUGCUGAAGUAAAUAGCCGCGGUAUCAUGACCGUGCAAAGGUAGCAUAAUCAUUAGUCUUUUAAUUUUAGACUGGUAUGAAGGGUUAGACUAAGAAAAUUUGUCUUAUAGUAAUAUUUUGAAAUUUAUUUUCUAGUAAAAAAGCUAGGAUUUUUCUUAGGGACGAGAAGACCCUAUCAAGCUUUACAAUUAGUUUUUAUUUUUCUUAAAGUAAAGAUAUUUUGUUUUACUGGGGCAGUAGAUGAAGAAAAUUUCAUUUUUUAAUUAUAAAUUCUAUUUUUGUAGUAACGAGAAUUUUUCAAAUAGGAACAAGUUACUGUAGGGAUAACAGCGUAAUUCCUUUAAAGAGUUCAUAUCAUCAAAGGAGUUUGCGACCUCGAUGUUGGAUUAAAAUAUCUGGAUCGCGCAAUAGCGAUUCUAGAAAGUCUGUUCGACUUUUAAAUUUUUCCA